RNAcentral lists this RNase P RNA (361 nucleotides) under Chloroflexota bacterium. RNAcentral's name for it is "Chloroflexi bacterium RNase P RNA component class A". It matches the Rfam family "Bacterial RNase P class A". Rfam says of the family: Ribonuclease P (RNase P) is a ubiquitous endoribonuclease, found in archaea, bacteria and eukarya as well as chloroplasts and mitochondria. Its best characterised activity is the generation of mature 5'-ends of tRNAs by cleaving the 5'-leader elements of precursor-tRNAs. Lineage: Bacteria; Bacillati; Chloroflexota. The record is from RNAcentral.
CCAGCAGGCCGGGCGAUCGCUCCGAUUCCAUCGGAGAGGAAGGUCCGAGCUCCUCCGGGCAGCGCACUGGGUAACGCCCAGGCUUCGGCUGCGCAAGUGGCCGGGGACGGAGAGUGGCACAGAAACAUACCCCCCGGUACACGGGGAAGGGUGAAAUGGCGGGGUAAGAGCCCACCGGUGGCGGUGUAACCCGCCGGCCGGCCAAACCCUGCGCGGUGCAAGGCCAAAUAGGAGGGUGUCAAGGGCGCCCGGCCCAAACCCUCGGGUUGGCCGCUUGAGGCCCUGAGUAAUCAGGGUCCUAGAUUGAUGAUCGCCGCCGUUAUCGACGGUACAGAACUCGGCCUACAGGUCUGCUGGACAU